RNAcentral lists this ribosomal RNA (465 nucleotides) under Vreelandella stevensii. Its description in RNAcentral is "partial 16S ribosomal RNA". It matches the Rfam family "Bacterial small subunit ribosomal RNA", at positions 338 to 795 of the family's 1533-position model. The record is from RNAcentral. Lineage: Bacteria; Pseudomonadati; Pseudomonadota; Gammaproteobacteria; Oceanospirillales; Halomonadaceae.
CCUACGGGUGGCUGCAGUGGGGAAUAUUGGACAAUGGGCGAAAGCCUGAUCCAGCCAUGCCGCGUGUGUGAAGAAGGCCUUCGGGUUGUAAAGCACUUUCAGUGGGGAAGAAAGCCUUGGGGCUAAUACCCCCGAGGAAGGACAUCACCCACAGAAGAAGCACCGGCUAACUCCGUGCCAGCAGCCGCGGUAAUACGGAGGGUGCGAGCGUUAAUCGGAAUUACUGGGCGUAAAGCGCGCGUAGGCGGUCUGAUAAGCCGGUUGUGAAAGCCCCGGGCUCAACCUGGGAACGGCAUCCGGAACUGUCAGGCUAGAGUGCAUGAGAGGAAGGUAGAAUUCCCGGUGUAGCGGUGAAAUGCGUAGAGAUCGGGAGGAAUACCAGUGGCGAAGGCGGCCUUCUGGACUGACACUGACGCUGAGGUGCGAAAGCGUGGGUAGCAAACAGGAUUAGAUACCCCAGUAGUC